This is a long non-coding RNA of Gymnogyps californianus (California condor), 1204 nucleotides long. RefSeq lists it as uncharacterized. The record is from RefSeq and is a predicted model, not a curated record. Lineage: Eukaryota; Metazoa; Chordata; Aves; Accipitriformes; Cathartidae. The transcript is spliced from 3 exons.
GUUAACCAGCACGGUCAACGGCAGUGUCUUCAGCAAGCUCUCCUGAGGGGGUGAGGAGUAACAGUUCCAGAUAAAGACACUACAGAUAACGAUUUUUAUCACAAAUGUCAGAAGGGAACGUGGAGCCUUGUGUUCGGUGAUGAGAGCAAUGAACAGCUUAAACAGUGACCCGACACCUGUCUGGGUAAGGCAGGCGUUUUGCAUGUCGAACACACUAAGUCACCGUGCCUCAACAGCUAAAAGGUGUAGUUUGACUCAUUUUCUGAUGAACACGGAAGGUGUACAUCCCGUGUCGGGGUGAGAAACUUUUGUCGGGUGUCUGCCAGGUACAACCGAGAAGCGCUUUGGUAGCUCCUGCACUCCCGCUGUAGGUCACAAGAUGGCGUAUGAAUACCCAGAAAGAUGACUGUCCGAGUAACCCGUUCAGCAGUGAAAGACCCAUCUUACUGUUGUGUUUUGCUUGGGCACCGUAAUAAUUCUUGCUAGCACACAGACAGGAUUUCCUCGUAGUAGUAGUUAUUAAAUGUUAUUUUUCAGGAGUCGUAUUCAGAAAGGUUGUAAGAGGUAUAUGGAAAUUCAAGUCUGCAUUUUUAGUAAUUUACAGGUUGCGCUGUCUAUAGCGAGGAUUGCCGGAGGGCUGGACUUGCCGGAGGAGCAGCGUGCUGUCAUAAGGAAGUCUAUCCCAGCUAUCAGAUAAAUGAGGAGGGAUACAGAAGCAUUUUUCAAAACCAAAACAUUCUGUAGAUGACACAUUUAUUUUUCAAAGCAGGAAAUACUUACUGAGUGAUGGUGUUCUUUUGGGCCUGCACUUUGCCAGAUGCACGCUGAUUUGUUGGUGGCUGUUGCUCAUUAUACCCAUAAUUGGGAAGUGACAUUGUUUCUGGCCUAGAGAAGAGAGCAAAUCCACAGUGUGUCCAAUCAGGCACCAGACAGUUGUUGACGUGACAGAUUUUUCUUUGGGAAGUGAAUUGUUUUACCACUUUUUGCCUAACUUCAGUCUUGUCUUUUAAUAAGAAAUGCCAGCCCAUCUGUUUUACUGGAAUGCCCAUAGUUGUGGAUUAGCAGGCCAUUUUCAAUAGCACUGCUUAUUUUAAAAGCAGAUCAAGGGACACUGAAAGUACGUGUCUUGAAAUGUAAUAUCCUAGGAAGAGUCUUUGGUCUGGCAAAAUAGUGCCAAAUAGUUCUGCUCACCGUACUCUCUGUU